This 447-nucleotide ribosomal RNA is filed under the name uncultured bacterium. RNAcentral describes it as "bacterial SSU rRNA". It matches the Rfam family "Bacterial small subunit ribosomal RNA", at positions 355 to 825 of the family's 1533-position model. The record is from RNAcentral.
UUGGGAAUUUUGGGCAAUGGGCGAAAGCCUGACCCAGCAACGCCGCGUGAAGGAUGAAGUAUUUCGGUAUGUAAACUUCGAAAGAAUAGGAAGAAUAAAUGACGGUACUAUUUAUAAGGUCCGGCUAACUACGUGCCAGCAGCCGCGGUAAUACGUAGGGACCAAGCGUUGUUCGGAUUUACUGGGCGUAAAGGGCGCGUAGGCGGCAAUUCAAGUCAUCUGUGAAAUCUCCGGGCUUAACUCGGAACGGUCAGAUGAUACUGCUUUGCUAGAGUGCAGAAGGGGCAAUCGGAAUUCUUGGUGUAGCGGUGAAAUGCGUAGAUAUCAAGAGGAACACCUGAGGUGAAGACGGGUUGCUGGGCUGACACUGACGCUGAGGCGCGAAAGCCAGGGGAGCAAACGGGAUUAGAUACCCUCGUAGUCCCUGAGCGGGCUGGCAAGGCGCAU